RNAcentral lists this transfer RNA (55 nucleotides) under Nymphon brevicaudatum. RNAcentral's name for it is "tRNA-Ser". The record is from RNAcentral. Lineage: Eukaryota; Metazoa; Arthropoda; Pycnogonida; Pantopoda; Nymphonidae.
GGAUAUGAUUAUUGAAGCUUCUAACUUUAAAGAGUAAUUGAUUUUACCAUAUUUU